UAGGCAGGACCGUCGGUCUACCGAGCAAUAUCACCCGCUCGGUGGAAGAUUUUUCUUUUCGUCGU
This 65-nucleotide microRNA precursor is filed under the name Bombyx mori (domestic silkworm). RNAcentral describes it as "mir-2774 microRNA precursor family". It matches the Rfam family "mir-2774 microRNA precursor family". Lineage: Eukaryota; Metazoa; Arthropoda; Insecta; Lepidoptera; Bombycidae. The record is from Rfam by way of RNAcentral.